Molecule: ribosomal RNA, 460 nt
Filed under: uncultured bacterium
Lineage: Bacteria
Description: partial 16S ribosomal RNA
Rfam family: Bacterial small subunit ribosomal RNA
Source: RNAcentral
CCUACGGGUGGCAGCAGUGAGGAAUAUUGGUCAAUGGACGCGAGUCUGAACCAGCCAAGUCGCGUGAAGGAUGACUGCCCUAUGGGUUGUAAACUUCUUUUAUACGGGGAUAAAAUCAGACACGUGUGUCUUUUUGUAUGUACCGUAUGAAUAAGGAUCGGCUAACUCCGUGCCAGCAGCCGCGGUAAUACGGAGGAUCCGAGCGUUAUCCGGAUUUAUUGGGUUUAAAGGGAGCGUAGAUGGGUUGUUAAGUCAGUUGUGAAAGUUUGCGGCUCAACCGUAAAAUUGCAAUUGAUACUGGCAGUCUUGAGGAUAGUUGAGGUAGGCGGAAUGUGUGGUGUAGCGGUGAAAUGCUUAGAGAUCACGAAGAACUCCGAUUGCGAAGGCAGCUUACGAAACUGCCUCUGACAUUGAGGCUCGAAAGCGUGGGUAGCAAACAGGAUUAGAUACCCGGGUAGUC